This is a long non-coding RNA of Pteropus alecto (black flying fox), 1329 nucleotides long. RefSeq lists it as uncharacterized. The record is from RefSeq and is a predicted model, not a curated record. The transcript has 2 exons. NCBI's taxonomy places the organism in Eukaryota, Metazoa, Chordata, Mammalia, Chiroptera, Pteropodidae.
GUAGGGCUCUGCAAUGUCGGAGGCAGGCAAAACACCCAGUCCUGCAACCAAGCCUCCGCGGCCCGAAGACCCGCGGCUCCCCACACAUGUGCACAGAGAAAAGUCCACAUGAGAACAAAGAGAGAAGGCAGCCAUCUGAAAGCCAAGGAGAAAGACUUUAGAAGAAACCAAACUGCCAACACUUUGAUCUUGAACUUCCAGCCUCUAGAACGACUCUUACCAAUUGAAAAGAAGUCUUUCUAGAUUUCUAAUUUCCAGUCCAUCAUGGAAGGAGCUUAUCCUGUCCUCACAAGAAAAAGGGUAAACUAAAAAUCAACAACUCUACUUCUAUCCAUCAGAGAAUCGAAGUCACAGGACAAACCACCACUCCCAAGAUUAGAGAGACAAACAAAUACAGAGAAUCACAACUUAAUAAAGCAGAAAGCCAAGAGCAGAAACUGCCACUGGCAUCAGUACCAGGCAGAAAACAAUAGAAAGAACUCCAUGGCUCAGUCUUUAUUUAAGAAGAAGUCUCUAGGGAAACCCAAAGACAACAGGAGACAAAAACAAGGAUGUUAGGAGAAAUUUUAGCUUAGGACACCUACAGCUUUAGCAGACAGUAAACAGAGCCUAACUCCUAACCAGAUAAACAUAAAACUUCACACUAAAGACCUGUUGACCUCAGAUCUUUUUGUCCAGCACAAAAUGUCCAGCUGCCGUCAACAACAACAACAACAACAAAACUGCAAGGUGUACUGAAAGAAAAAACACAGUGUGAAGAGAGAGAAAGAAUCAGAACCAAAACUCAGACGUGGCAGAGAUAUUGCGACUAUCAGGCCAGGAAUUUGAAACAACUGAGAUAUUCGAAUGGAAAAAGUGGACAACGUGCAAGAACAUAUGAAUAAUGUAAGCAGAGAGAUGAAAAUGCUAAGAAAGAAUAGAGAGGAAAUGCCAGAAAUCAAAAACGCUGUGGCAGAAAUGAGGAAUGCCUGAAUGAGCUCAUCGACAGACUGGACAUGGUUGAGAAGAGUUGGGGAGAAUGAAGAAAAAUGAAGAUUCCUUAAAGAAACUGCACUUAUUAUAAAAGAAAUAAAUGCUGAACUCCAACUAGGAAAUUGGUAGAAGAGCAUAUCUGAGAAAAGAUGCUUGGCAUUAGAUCAACUUAGUGAACACGAGUUAUCUGUUGGGAUUAUCGCUAAUUGAAUUCAAGGACUUUAACAUUUUACUCGAGUUUUGUGGAGUAAGCAUUGUCAAAUUGCAAUAUUUAUGACAAACAUUUAAUGACAAAUAUAUCAUGCUUGCUAUCUGAUGAAAUCGCGUUUGUUGGCUAAUGAAAUAAUUUUAAGAGAA